UCGGGAAUUUUGGGCAAUGGGCGAAAGCCUGACCCAGCAACGCCGCGUGAAGGAUGAAGUAUUUCGGUAUGUAAACUUCGAAAGAAUAGGAAGAAUAAAUGACGGUACUAUUUAUAAGGUCCGGCUAACUACGUGCCAGCAGCCGCGGUAAUACGUAGGGACCAAGCGUUGUUCGGAUUUACUGGGCGUAAAGGGCGCGUAGGCGGCAAUUCAAGUCAUCUGUGAAAUCUCCGGGCUUAACUCGGAACGGUCAGAUGAUACUGGAUGGCUUGAAUUCGGGAGAGGGAUGCGGAAUUCCAGGUGUAGCGGUGAAAUGCGUAGAUAUCUGGAGGAACACCGGUGGCGAAGGCGGCAUCCUGGACCAACACUGACACUGAGGAGCGAAAGCCAGGGGAGCAAACGGGAUUAGAUACCCACGUAGUCCCUGAGCGGGCUGGCAAGGCGCAU
Molecule: ribosomal RNA, 447 nt
Filed under: uncultured bacterium
Lineage: Bacteria
Description: bacterial SSU rRNA
Rfam family: Bacterial small subunit ribosomal RNA
Source: RNAcentral